AAAAAUAACAAAUUCAAUAUACUGACGCACUUACUAGCGUCAUUUUUUCUGAUGGUUAAACCCACGAUCUUAUAUACAGAUUAAACCGUGGUUAAACCAGAAAAAAAUACAAAAUAAAUCUACGUGUCUGACAACGGAAAUACAUCGAGGACGCAGGCGGCCAUCUUCCUUUUUAACGGUCUCGUUCAAUUCAAAAUAUCUACGAACGUUUCGUAUCACUUUGAAAGGUGGUUACGACUUAAUAAUUACAAAGCGCUAUCCGUCGUUUAAUUGAAUAAUAACGAGCAUCGAUAAACGGAAUAACGCUCUGGACACAUGACUUUUUAUAACGUAAUUACGUAAUGCCGACCUUGAUCCGAUAAAUCAGCUAAAUUAUGUCAAUGGACGGUAAUGGAGUUCAAGGAGUUAUCGAAUCGCGUUCGAGGGAGAAUGACACUGUCAUAGCGUCCGUACAAGCAUGUAUUUCUUCAUUUUCGCCGUUCACUGUGACAAGAUAGAUUCAUAAUAUUUCAUUCGCUCCCUGCCACCAUGGAUAACGUUGAGGAAUCCUAACCCACGAGGUAUCGUCAUCAAAUUGUUUCGUGCAUAACCUCUUUAGAAUAGGAAGAAGUAGAAACCGGCGCGACGCCGACGGCGCGGAAUGCCAAUGACAAGAGGCGACGAAGGGAACAGAGAAGCAUGAAAGAAAAAUAUUCGUUGCAGACAUUAAGGGAAGGAGUAAAUGAGACGGAAAAUACGCAUAGUGGCAAGAACGAGACUGUGUGUGCCAAAGAAAGAGAAAGAGAGGGUAUCAUGCGCGUUAGAAAUUUUGGCAAAGUACCAAAAGUCAGUCUAUAUAUAUUUAGAUUGUCGCCAACGUAUUUUACGCCUUUCCCGCAGUAUUGCAAAAUCCAAAUAUUGCAUCCUUACGAGUUUGAGUAUUCAUCCAUGCAGGAGUUCAAGAAGUGACUGUAGACUAAGAGAAAAAAUGACAAAGAGACAAUGCCUUUAAUACCACCAAAGCAAAGGGACGCGGCAGCUUCGCUUUAAGCAGAAAAGGUACAGUCGUCAACGGCAAAGCGACAGAAAAUCAGGAGAUACAAUGAGUCAUAAGUUGUCGAGACAGAACGGUAGGCGAGGACAACGACUGGAUAGAAGAUCAGAUUUCUAUUACCGGUUUUCUCAAAAACAGUCGCCACAGAGCUAUGCAUAGUCUGCAGAGACUACCAAGAGCAAGAAGGGUCGAGUCUUCAUGACGUGGAAUCAGUCUAGCGAAUAUGGACACUGGUUGUGUCUACCAUCAACUGAGAAUCCCGCUCGAAUUUCAGGAACCUCCUUGAACAGGGUCAAUAAGUAUUGCAAGUGGAGGAAGAAGUAUUAUCAGUAAAAUUAUCAGCAAAAAUCCCGCCUCGCCAGAGUCAUGAUCAUCAUUAUGAUCAUCGUUCCAUGGGGUUACGUCCAAUCAGAGAAUUUUUACGAGUGUGGCAAUGUCAGCCACUGUCACUCGUGCUUCCAGAGUGCUUGUGUGAAGCUUGAAGGUAAAUUGUAGAGAUUGAAUAAUUCCUAGGAACGAAGAAAGGAACUGAAGAGACAGACUAUCUUGUAAUGCUCGAUACGUCUCUCGAAUGUAACGAAGUUCGGUAUUUAAAAAUAGACACUUUUAUCAACUCCACUAUCCACGAGCGAAGAUGCUAACAGCGAGAGAGGAUGAGGAGAUGAAGAGAGUUCUAAAAGAGAAAGGAAGGAUAGGACAGAGAUAUAGACAGCCAGUAUAUAUUAUGAUACGGGGGAAGAAACCUGAGAGCUAGAGUACCGGCGACGUUGUAUCGCUCUACGGGUUUAUAUUUAUACACACCGGUCGGCUUAUAAUAGCAGCCCCGGCUUCCCAUUUGUGUGAAAUGCAUGCAUACACACCUUGUCUUAGGUCAAGCACUGACUACUGUAAUUAAAUCAAGGACCAUAUUGUUCUUCUUCCAUCGGUCGAUUUUCUUCUAAAUCUUUUAAUUUAUUAAAUUUUUCGAACUGUGGAUGUGAUCAAUGAUUGUUCAUUUUAUGUUGUUUUCCAGAGAAAUUUAUUCAAGAGAGUAAGAAAGAGAAAUAUUCAAUAUUAUUUUGGUACAGUGGUGGCGGGCCGACAGCCCUUAUGGAAUGCCAACCGGUUUUUCAAUCUUAUUUGUUUCCAAUGACUUCAGCAAACGUGCCGGUUGGUACAAGAACCCAGGAACUAUAGAAAA
Molecule: long non-coding RNA, 2213 nt
Organism: Cephus cinctus (wheat stem sawfly)
Lineage: Eukaryota; Metazoa; Arthropoda; Insecta; Hymenoptera; Cephidae
Exons: 4
Source: RefSeq, a predicted model, not a curated record